UACAGAGGGUGCAAGCGUUGUUCGGAAUUAUUGGGCGUAAAGCGCGCGUAGGCUGUUUAGUAAGUCGAAUGUGAAAGCCCUGGGCUCAACCGAAGAACGUCGGCCGAUACUGCCGUUCUUGAGGGAUGAAGAGGUGAUUGGAAUUCCCGGUGUAGCGGUGAAAUGUGUAGAGAUCGGGAGGAACACCGGUGGCGAAGGCGGGUCUCUGGGCAGCUCCUGACGCUGAGGCGCGAAAGCGUGGGGAGCAAACGGG
This 253-nucleotide ribosomal RNA is filed under the name uncultured bacterium. Its description in RNAcentral is "partial 16S ribosomal RNA". It matches the Rfam family "Bacterial small subunit ribosomal RNA", at positions 524 to 776 of the family's 1533-position model. The record is from RNAcentral.